This 468-nucleotide ribosomal RNA is filed under the name uncultured bacterium. RNAcentral's name for it is "partial 16S ribosomal RNA". It matches the Rfam family "Bacterial small subunit ribosomal RNA", at positions 328 to 792 of the family's 1533-position model. The record is from RNAcentral.
GUCCCAGACUCCUACGGGAGGCAGCAGUGAGGAAUAUUGGUCAAUGGGCUUACGCCUGAACCAGCCAAGUCGCGUGAGGGAAGACUGCCCUAUGGGUUGUAAACCUCUUUUGUCAGGGAGCAAUUGGCGCUACGUGUAGCGUUAUCGAGAGUACCUGAAGAAAAAGCAUCGGCUAACUCCGUGCCAGCAGCCGCGGUAAUACGGGGGAUGCGAGCGUUAUCCGGAUUCACUGGGUGUAAAGGGAGCGUAGACGGCGACGCAAGUCUGGAGUGAAAGCCCGGGGCCCAACCCCGGGACUGCUCUGGAAACUGCGGCGCUGGAGUACGGGAGGGGCAGGCGGAAUUCCUGGUGUAGCGGUGAAAUGCGUAGAUAUCAGGAGGAACACCGGCGGCGAAGGCGGCCUGCUGGACCGUGACUGACGUUGAGGCUCGAGAGCGUGGGGAGCAAACAGGAUUAGAUACCCGCGUA